This is a long non-coding RNA of Ceratitis capitata (Mediterranean fruit fly), 845 nucleotides long. RefSeq lists it as uncharacterized. The transcript is spliced from 2 exons. The record is from RefSeq and is a predicted model, not a curated record. NCBI's taxonomy places the organism in Eukaryota, Metazoa, Arthropoda, Insecta, Diptera, Tephritidae.
CCGACAGAAAUUUUUAAAGAGAUGUCAUCGGUUGUUCAGGACUCUGCCCCUUCAAAUAUUAUGGUGAAAAAAUGGGAUGGACUGUUAUAACAAGGAAGAAAAUAUUCAGAAAGUCGAAAAAUCAGUACUGACUGAUCGAAGAAACAAAUUGUGGCAGAUAGUAGAAGGAUUACAGAUUAGCAAAGAACGAACUGGAGAAAUUUUGUUUGACCAUUUGAAUAUAAAAUAAAUUAGUGCGCGUUGGGUUCCACGUAUGCUCGACAAGUAGCGAUAUUUGGAAAGUUAUAAAGACUUUUUGGCGUUAUGCCAAGAUGAUAUGGAUAAAAUUUACAACCGCAUUGUAACUGUUGAUAAAAUUGAAUUCGUCAGUAUGAACCCGAGUCUAAACACGAGUCGGUACAGUGAUUAAAAAUGAGGGAAAACCAUCAAAAAAUUUCAAAGUAGAAAAGUCGGAGUCGAAGAUUAUGUCUACCAUAUUCUGGGAUAGCGAGGGAUAUUAUUAAUUGAUUACUCUUCAAAGGGAACUACAAUGAACGGCAGGAACUACGGGAUGAAGAUUUUCCGAUGACAGUGAGGUGAAAGCGGCCGUAGAAAACCAUUUUGACGAGAAAUCUAAAGAAUGUUUUUUCAGUGGUAAACUACUCGACAAGUCGAUAACUAAGCGAGGAAUGUUCAAAGGAAAAUGUGGUUCUAAAUCAAGUUCUACAUCAAUCAACGUCCUUUAAGAGGACUAUUAAGAAAACAUAUUGAUAUAUUUAUCGCUGGACCGUAGAAAACAUAGAAUUUCAUCACUGUUGAAAUACCAUAAAUUUUGAAUACAAUUAAUAAAUGAAAAUGUUAUAUAA